CACGCCUAACAGAUUGCGUGUCCGCUCGCGCAUCCCCUGUGGCGUGAGCAACGAGCCUGUCCAACUCUACUUCCUCCCCCUGCCCCACAAUGACCCUCCGACGCGUUGUGCUGCGAGGGGGACAAUCUUCCCUAUCGCCUCUGUUAAGCAGCAUGCGAUGCGCGCGGCAGCAGCACAACACUUCGGACCCAGCGCAGAUUCACUCUGACAGAGACCCAGUCUCUUCUUCCUCGUCGACUGGCCCGUCACCCACGCUUGGGGUCGCAGGCACCCCGAGCUCGGCUGGUGGGCCCCAAGAGGCGAACCGGCUGUUCGACAUACUCGGAGAGCCUGUAGCUCCGCCGUUGAAAGCUGUUCUGCAAGACAACUCACGAAAACCCAGUGCUUGGCAGCCACUCCGCGGUGCAUCGUCAGCGCCCUCGACUGAUGCAGGCGGAGAGGGGCGGAUCUUGGAUGCGUCGCCGCCAGCAUGGUCUCAGCCCAUCCAGCAGGUAGUCCGGCAUGCGGUGCUUGACCCUUUGCGCUACGCAUCCUCUCAAAUCGACGGCAGCGAAUCACAAGAAAAGCGCCGCGAGAGUGUCGCGCCGCCGUCGCUGCCGGACUUGUCGGCGCAGUACAAGGUGAUAAUUGUGGACGCUCUAGGGAUGCCAGCCGAUUUGCCGAGAGGUGCCCCACGGAGCUUUGAAGACCUGCUCGAGCUCUCGCCGUCGAUCCUUCGGACGCAGCUGCAGAAGCUGAUUGAGCGCAAGCGCUACCGCGCCCUCACCCCUGUGCAGGCCGCCGCCAUACCGCUUAUGCUGGAGUACCGCGAUGUGCUCUGUAUCGCGCCCACGGCAACUGGCAAGACCCUCUGCUAUGUCUACGCGACUCUUAUGCACCUCCUGCUAAAGGACAUAAAUGAUCGACCAGCCGCAGCAGCAGCAGCAGCAGCCACCGCGGGCGACGAGGGCAACGAGGGCGGCGGUGUCAGCCUGAACCGGCGGCAAGUGGAAACCUUCCUGCAGGAGAAAAUCGACAAGGGAGAAGUCUGCCCCUACUGCGAACUGAGCCUCAGCGAGGUGCGCGUCUGUCCAAUGACAGGCUUCCCGCACCCGUCCGCGUUCGAGCUCGAGACCGACCUCGCUCUUCGGUCAAAGGAGCGACGUGCGAUGCGGCUGGAAGAGCUACAAUCCUCUGUCGCGGAGCCGCGCGUGCUGGUGCUGGUGCCGAAUGGUCAGUUGGCCUCUCAGGUCUCCGCCGUGUUCCGCUCUCUUCACUGCGACUAUAGGAUCCACUGCAUGGUACGCGCCUCCAGCGCAGAGGAGCAGCGCAAGUACCUGCAAGCGCUGGAAGGCGGCGUCGACGUGCUCGUCGCCUCCCCAGAAACCAUACUGCCAGCGUUAUACAGGCAUAAACUGUCCCUGAGGAAAGUGCAGACGGUGGUGAUGGAUGAAGUGGACGAUAUCGUCUCUGUGAAUCACUUCGAACCCAUGAAGAUCAUCCUCGGCGCGCUGCCAAAGGGUGUGCGACGGCCGCAGCGACUUCUGUUCGGUGCCUCGCUUCCACCCGUUGCCUAUGAAAUGAUCAAGAAAAAGAUGCUGCUUCCCUCUCACAGAUUUGUGCUCGUCGACCUCAAAGCCCCGGCAGAGCUAAGUCGUGCUGCUCCUUCUUCUCUAGCGUCGUCACUGUCGUCCUCCUCUCCCGACAAGCCGAACGCGGGGGACGCCGGCGAUCUCCCUGUAGCAGCCUUGUCUACCACCGUGACGGGCGGUUUCUUGACCGCGCGCACAAAUCUGCGUCACCUCGUAUUUAUGGUGGGGCGCGCCGAGAAGGUGCAGAAGCUCGCGUGGCUGUACGAGACCGGGAAGCUCAACCCAGACCAGCGCACCCUCAUCUUCUGCAACUCACGUCACAACGUCGCCUACGUGUGCGACAAGAUGAAGGAGCUAGUUUCGCAGGUGAACUUUACCACGCUGACCUCGCACGCCUCGUCGUCGGCGCGUGAAGGUGUACUGAAGAUGUUCCGAACAGGGGUGUCGACCAGCCUUAUCUGCACAGACCUGCUGAGUCGUGGAAUCGACUUCCAGGGCGUGGUCUACGUCGUGCAUUACGACAUGCCAACAGACAUGGAGACCUGGACGCACCGGUGCGGUCGCUGCGGUCGUGGAGGCUCUCUGCAGGGCAGAGGGUAUAUCUACACCUUUUUCCAGCCGGAGAACAUCAAGCUGGCAAAGCCGCUGGUCGGGUAUCUUCGCCAGCAUCAACAGCUAGUUCCGCCGAGGCUGCGCGAGUACGCAAAGCAGUCUUUCAUCGAUGUGUUCAACAACUCGCUCUUCCACCAUCCGACGCGGCCGCGCCGCAAGGAUGAUCCGCAGAACAGCACGCCGGUUCUCGGCCGAGGCAUGCGACGCUUCCCCGACUACAAGCAGAGCACCAUUCACAAACACUUCCGGCCACAUUGACAGUGGAGAUGCGGUGUAUGGCUGACGUGAAAGAAGCAGUGUGAAGAGGGAACGCAUGCCUUCGAUCUAUCGGCCGUUGUCGCCUGUAGCAGCACUGUUGCCGUGUCUUUUUCUGUUGCUGAGUCCGCACGUCUGCGCGACACGUCUGCAGCUGUCUGCCCCCCCCCUCCUUUUUCUUCACAUACACGCACGCGCACACCUUCGUUGUGACUUGCGUUUAACUUCCUCCCUCCCUCUUUGCUUACGCUAACGAGCAAGCAAAUCAAGCCGCAGACACCCAUG
Molecule: unclassified non-coding RNA, 2723 nt
Filed under: Leishmania donovani
Lineage: Eukaryota; Euglenozoa; Kinetoplastea; Trypanosomatida; Trypanosomatidae
Description: gene:LdHU3.36.3620(CDS-product:ATP-dependent_DEAD /H_RNA_helicase_putative)
Source: RNAcentral